UACGUAGGGUGCGAGCGUUAAUCGGAAUUACUGGGCGUAAAGCGUGCGCAGGCGGUUUUGUAAGACAGGUGUGAAAUCCCCGGGCUCAACCUGGGAAUUGCGCUUGAAACUAGCGAGCUUGAGUGUGGCAGAGGGGGGUGGAAUUCCACGUGUAGCAGUGAAAUGCGUAGAGAUGUGGAGGAACACCGAUGGCGAGGGCAGCCCCCUGGGUCAACACUGACGCUCAUGCACGAAAGCGUGGGGAGCAAACAGG
Molecule: ribosomal RNA, 253 nt
Filed under: uncultured bacterium
Lineage: Bacteria
Description: partial 16S ribosomal RNA
Rfam family: Bacterial small subunit ribosomal RNA
Source: RNAcentral